RNAcentral lists this long non-coding RNA (440 nucleotides) under Vigna radiata. RNAcentral's name for it is "long non-coding RNA (VRAD_LNC013908)". The record is from RNAcentral. Lineage: Eukaryota; Viridiplantae; Streptophyta; Magnoliopsida; Fabales; Fabaceae.
CGUAAUGACCUCUUCAUAAAUUCAUCCCUUCAAUCAUCAAAUACAACAACAUACUCCUUCUAUCUUCAGAAAUUCAUAAAAAAAAAAAACAGAGAAGACCGUUUGCCAUGACCUCCAGCACCUACGUUCUUCAUCCGAGCCCUCCAUAAUCUCUGGGCAGCACCUCCUUUCUUUACACACAAGGUCUUCAUCAUUACCCUUCACUAUUAUCAGCGCACCUCCAACGCCAUGAGGGUUGACACACAUGAUUCUCCAUUCCCUCGGACCCACUUGGAAACCAAUUCCCCCAACCUGCAUUCUCCUUGACCAUUCACCGCCGUCAUCGUUCAUCAUCUUCAUCUGGUUCAUUACCUGGAAAACAGAAAAAAAACACCAUUUGUCCCCUCACACACCACUUUCAAUCAACAGAGCCAUUACUUCAUUCAUCAUAGAAACACAAC